AACGAACGCUGGCGGCAUGCCUAACACAUGCAAGUCGAACGAGACCAUCGGGUCUAGUGGCGCACGGGUGCGUAACGCGUGGGAACCUGCCCUUAGGUUCGGCAUAACUCCCCGAAAGGGGUGCUAAUACCGGAUAAUGUCUUCGGACCAAAGAUUUAUCGCCUUUGGAUGGGCCCGCGUUGGAUUAGCUAGUUGGUAGGGUAAAAGCCUACCAAGGCGACGAUCCAUAGCUGGUCUGAGAGGAUGAUCAGCCACACUGGGACUGAGACACGGCCCAGACUCCUACGGGAGGAAGCAGUGGGGAAUAUUGGACAAUGGGCGAAAGCCGGAUCCAGCAAUGCCGCGUGAGUGAUGAAGGCCUUAGGGUUGUAAAGCUCUUUUACCCGGGAUGAUAAUGACAGUACCGGGAGAAUAAGCUCCGGCUAACUCCGUG
Molecule: ribosomal RNA, 433 nt
Filed under: uncultured bacterium
Lineage: Bacteria
Description: partial 16S ribosomal RNA
Rfam family: Bacterial small subunit ribosomal RNA
Source: RNAcentral